UUCCGGUUGAUCCCGCCGGAGGCCGCUGCUAUCCGGCUGGGACUAAGCCAUGCGAGCCAAGGGGCUUGUAUCCCUUCGGGGAUGCAAGCACCGGCGGACGGCUCAGUAACACGUGGACAACCUGCCCUCGGGUGGGGGAUAACCCCGGGAAACUGGGGCUAAUCCCCCAUAGGGGAUGGGUACUGGAAUGUCUCAUCUCCGAAAGCGCUUAGCGCCCGAGGAUGGGUCUGCGGCGGAUUAGGUUGUUGGUGGGGUAACGGCCCACCAAGCCGAAGAUCCGUACGGGCCAUGAGAGUGGGAGCCCGGAGAUGGACCCUGAGACACGGGUCCAGGCCCUACGGGGCGCAGCAGGCGCGAAACCUCCGCAAUGCGGGAAACCGCGACGGGGUCAGCCGGAGUGCUCGCGCAUCGCGCGGGCUGUCGGGGUGCCUAAAAAGCACCCCACAGCAAGGGCCGGGCAAGGCCGGUGGCAGCCGCCGCGGUAAUACCGGCGGCCCGAGUGGCGGCCACUUUUAUUGGGCCUAAAGCGUCCGUAGCCGGGCUGGUAAGUCCUCCGGGAAAUCUGGCGGCUUAACCGUCAGACUGCCGGAGGAUACUGCCAGCCUAGGGACCGGGAGAAGCCGGGGGUAUUCCCGGAGUAGGGGUGAAAUCCUGUAAUCCCGGGAGGACCACCUGUGGCCAAGCGCCCGGCUGGAACGGGUCCGAACGUGAGGGACGAAGCCAGGGGAGCAACCGGAUUAGAUACCCGGGUAGUCCUGGCUGUAAACGAUGCGGACUAGGUGUCACCGAAGCUACAACUCGGGGUGGUGGCGGAAGGAAGCCGUUAAGUCCGCGCCUGGGGAGUACGCCAGCUGAACUAAAGAAUGGCGGGACACUCACGGUGAGC
RNAcentral lists this ribosomal RNA (886 nucleotides) under uncultured archaeon. RNAcentral's name for it is "bacterial SSU rRNA". It matches the Rfam family "Archaeal small subunit ribosomal RNA", at positions 1 to 891 of the family's 1478-position model. The record is from RNAcentral.